GUCAAAGAGAGAGAGAGAGGAAGAGAAAGGCAGGAGGUCAAAGAGAGAGGGAGGAAGAGGAGGUCAAAGAGAGAGAGGAAGAGGAAGGAAGAGGAGGUCAAAGAGAGAGAGAGAGAGAGAAAGAGGAAGGAAGAGGAGGUCAAAGAGAGAGAGAGAGAGGGAGAGAGAGGAAGAGAAAGGCAGAGGAGGUAAAAGAGAGAGAGAGAGGGAGGAAGAGGAGGUCAAAGAGAGAGAGGAAGAGGAAGGAAUAGGAGGUCAAAGAGAGAGAGGAAGAGGAAGGAAGAGGAGGUCAAAGAGAGAGAGGAAGAGGAAAGAAGAGGAGGUCAAAGAGAGAGAGGAAGAGGAGGGAAGAGGAGGUCAAAGAGAGAGAGGAAGAGGAGAUCAAAGAGAGAGAGGAAGAGGAAGGAAGAGGAGGUCAAAGAGAGAGAGGAAGAGGAAGAGGAAGGAAGAGGUCAAAGGGAGAGAGAGAGAGGAAGAGGAGGUCAAAGAGAGCGAGGAAGAGGAAGGAAGAGAAAGGCAGAGGAGGUCAAAGAGAGAGAGGAAGAGGAGGUCAAAGAGAGCUAGGAAGAGGAAGGCAGAGGAGGUCAAAGAGAGAGAGAGAGAGAGGAAGGCAGAGGAGGUCAAAGAGAGAGAGAGGGAGGAAGAGGAGGUCAAAGAGAGAGAGGAAGAGGAAGGAAGAGGAGGUCAAAGAGAGAGAGGAAGAGG
Long non-coding RNA from Oncorhynchus tshawytscha (Chinook salmon), 705 nucleotides. The record is from Ensembl. NCBI's taxonomy places the organism in Eukaryota, Metazoa, Chordata, Actinopteri, Salmoniformes, Salmonidae.